CGCGCCAUCUCUGUUUUUGUUGAUCAGAGUGCCUGUUUAUCACAUGUGUUUAGAAGAAUAAUGCUACGGUGUACAAAAGUGUAGAAUAUAUUUUUAUUAUUUUCCGUAUUCUGAUGAGUUUUGUUUGGAUUGAUUAUUGUUUAAUACACAUUAAUACACGAUUUUCGUUCUUCUCGUUGAGUUCAUAAUUUGACAGAUUAAUAUCUUCCGAUUCGAAUCGAAUCGUAAUAUCGUUAAUUGUUUACAUUAUCAGAGAUUUGAGAUUUGCUGUUGCAUUGAUAUAAAUUUCGAGAAAAAAAUUGAACAACCAGGUCCACUUUGUUCUGACUCGAUAACUUCUAUUAUUUUGAUAUAAUUAAAGAUGAUACGUUCAAAAAGUGAUCUCUGUCGUAAAUCAGAUUGCGUCGUCUUAAUCUCAUAUGAAAAUGGAUGAGUGAUGAAAGUUUGAUGAUCAUCAACAAAAAAAGUUCAUAUUCCUUGAAAUGGAGACAUACCUCAUAUAGCAGAAUUGUUACGAUAUAGUCGGAGCUUCUAAGAAAAAGUGAGACGUUAUCAGUAUGAGCAUUGAAUUAAGAUCAACAAGUAAAUUUAAUUUCUUUCAUGGUAUUAUUCAAAUCUAAUAUAACAUUGAAUUGUUGAUGAUAAUGAAGUCAAACGAAAGAGUAGUUGUAAGAGGAAUAAACGUUUGUCAAAAGGAUCAUCAGCGAUGAUGUAUUCGAGUAAAAGCGAUCGAAAGGGAUGGGGAAAAAAAACGAAAAAAGAAAAAAGAAAAAAAUAGAAGAAAUAGAAAAAAAAAAUAAAAACCUCUUAGAGUAACUAGGAAAUAUGAUGAAAAGAGAAUCGAAUUAAUUCGACAGUUUAUUACAUUCAGUGUGCCGGUAUAGAAAUAUUAUACAAAUUCGAAGAUGUUCGAACGAAUUACGAAACGUUAGAACUACAUGGUUUUUCUUUCCUUUUUUUUUUUCCUUUUCUUUUCUUUUUUUUCUCUUUUUUUUUCUUUUUUUUUUUUUUUUUUCUAAACAUAUA
Vespa velutina is the source of this 1026-nucleotide long non-coding RNA. RefSeq lists it as uncharacterized. NCBI's taxonomy places the organism in Eukaryota, Metazoa, Arthropoda, Insecta, Hymenoptera, Vespidae. The transcript has 3 exons. The record is from RefSeq and is a predicted model, not a curated record.